This 253-nucleotide ribosomal RNA is filed under the name uncultured bacterium. RNAcentral's name for it is "partial 16S ribosomal RNA". It matches the Rfam family "Bacterial small subunit ribosomal RNA", at positions 524 to 776 of the family's 1533-position model. The record is from RNAcentral.
UACGUAGGGGGCAAGCGUUGUCCGGAUUUAUUGGGCGUAAAGAGCGUGUAGGCGGUUAGGUAGGUCCGUUGUGAAAACUCGAGGCUCAACCUCGAGACGCCGAUGGAAACCAUCUGACUAGAGUCCGGAAGAGGAGAGUGGAAUUCCUGGUGUAGCGGUGAAAUGCGCAGAUAUCGGGAGGAACACCUGUGGCGAAAGCGGCGCACUGGACCACAUCUGACGCUGAGGCGCGAAAGCUAGGGGAGCAAACAGG